GCACAAUAACAAUACAUAAUUAUGUUGAAAAAUGCCACCUGUUAAUUUCAAAUAGGCCAGUCUCUGGGAGAUUGCCUCCUUUUUCAAAUUUUUUUGCAACCUAGGAAAAAAUGUUUCACAGCAAAACUAGCUGUAAGCAUUCAGGGGCUGGUUCACCCAUCUAUUAGGAAUAAAUCUCUGGAAGAAACUCAAUCAGUCCAAAUUUUAUAGAUGACUCCUUUUCAAAUUAUUGAUUCAAUUGAACUGAUUAUAUUUUCAGAAAUGAAAGAAAAGGCUCUUUUUUACAUUCAGUGCAAAUUGAAGAAGAAGAAGUUCAAAAUAUUCUAAAGGUAGCCUUGCAUAGCUUCGAUAUGAAUACGCUGGGACCAACAGUCUAUUUAGAGUGUUACAGGCCAUAUUUUAUAUUUUUUUCUGGAGAGGCCACAUCCUUUAGAAGAUUUUUUCAAAGUUGAACCAUUCCCAUCUCUAAGAGAUUUUGCAAGUCGCAUUGAGAGCUAUGACUCACUUAAAGAUGAAGUUUAUGAUUUGCGACAAAACAUCCCCCUGAAUUUAAUUGACUUAGAUUGCACCAAAGUGAAUGAUACGCUGUGGAAAAUGAUAAGUCAGUUACAUAUGCAACAAUUACAGAUUAUUUUGCGAACGUCUGCCGCAAUCACAACAAAGAGUAAGAUUUCUCUGUGUAUAAUCAAACAGGAGGAGUUGGAAUCAGUAAAGCAAGUUGACUGGCACUCUACUUUUGCGCCAUGAAAGUUAUGCUAUUUAUUUUUUACAUGCUAAAGGAUAGGAACCUUCAUCUUAAAAGCGUAAGGAGGAAGGAAAGGGGCAUCAAAAAGUCUGUAACCUAGCGUUACCUACUCUAUGAACGGCCCUAAAGUCUCCGAAGUCAAAUUUCGGAAAAAUUGAGUCAGUGACGUUUUAUAUGUAACCAAUAAUUAUUCAAAAUGUGCAAAGUGUGAAAAUUAGGUAAUCUUCUCUAGAGGUGCGUGAGAAAAUGGAGUUUGAGUAGAGUUUUUUGAGAAUUGAGAAAUUGCGAUUACUUUAGAAUCAAUGCAGCCACUGCAUGGUUUUUUCUCCAAUAUCUUGAAAGAGGGACCCUUUGGCUGUGAAAUCUAAUAUUUUUGUGUAUUGAUAAUGAGGUAAUCCUUUAGACAAUUUAAAUAAUUCACAAAUGUCCUAAGGAAACAAUUCUUUAUCACUUGUGUUUACUGAACUCGGCCUUGUACCUUUUGAUCAACUACUUUCCUUUUUUUCUCUUCCAAAGGAUUGCUCUGAAAUUUGAAGGAAUAAUCUCAAGAGUUGGUGAUGUACCUGAGACUACAGCACAACUUUAGAAUUGACCAACUUUAUAA
This 1349-nucleotide long non-coding RNA is filed under the name Bemisia tabaci. RNAcentral describes it as "lncRNA ENSSWEETPG012223". The record is from RNAcentral. Lineage: Eukaryota; Metazoa; Arthropoda; Insecta; Hemiptera; Aleyrodidae.